UCGGCAGAGAUGCCUUAGUGCCUUCGGGAACCGUGAGACAGGUGCUGCAUGGCUGUCGUCAGCUCGAGUUGUGAAAUGUUGGGUUAAGUCCCGCAACGAGCGCAACCCUUAUCCUUUGUUGCCAGCGGUCCGGCCGGGAACUCAAAGGAGACUGCCAGUGAUAAACUGGAGGAAGGUGGGGAUGACGUCAAGUCAUCAUGGCCCUUACGACCAGGGCUACACACGUGCUACAAUGGCGCAUACAAAGAGAAGCGACCUCGCGAGAGCAAGCGGACCUCAUAAAGUGCGUCGUAGUCCGGAUUGGAGUCUGCAACUCGACUCCAUGAAGUCGGAAUCGCUAGUAAUCGUGGAUCAGAAUGCCACGGUGAAUACGUUCCCGGGUCUUGUACACACCGA
This 396-nucleotide ribosomal RNA is filed under the name Pantoea sp. BV21. RNAcentral describes it as "bacterial SSU rRNA". It matches the Rfam family "Bacterial small subunit ribosomal RNA", at positions 997 to 1393 of the family's 1533-position model. Lineage: Bacteria; Pseudomonadati; Pseudomonadota; Gammaproteobacteria; Enterobacterales; Erwiniaceae. The record is from RNAcentral. RNAcentral also lists the same sequence under 1 other name.